This 1863-nucleotide ribosomal RNA is filed under the name sediment metagenome. Its description in RNAcentral is "bacterial LSU rRNA". It matches the Rfam family "Bacterial large subunit ribosomal RNA", at positions 1 to 1983 of the family's 2925-position model. The record is from RNAcentral.
UCAAGUGACUUAAGGGCAUCUGGUGGAUGCCUUGGCGGUAAGAGGCGAUGAAGGACGUGGUACGCUGCGAUAAGCUUGGGGAAGGUGCGAACAGCCGUUGAUCCCAAGAUCUCCGAAUGGGGAAACCCACCUUCAGCAUCUUGAAAUUCGCAUCCUGAAGCAAUUCAGGGUUCGGAUUUCAGGGUGUUGGUAAAAGGUAUCUAACCCUGAAUACAUAGGGGUUUAGAAGCAAACCCAGGGAACUGAAACAUCUAAGUACCUGGAGGAAAGGACAUCAACCGAGACUCCGCUAGUAGUGGCGAGCGAACGCGGACUAGGCCAGUGCUCUGACAAAACAAACUGGAACCUUCUGGAAAGUUGGGCCAUAGCGGGUGAUAGCCCCGUACAGGUAAAGUCAGUCAGAGACUCGAGUAGGGCGGGACACGUGAAAUCCUGUCUGAACAUGGGGGGACCACCCUCCAAGCCUAAGUACUCCUUACCGACCGAUAGCGCACCAGUACCGUGAGGGAAAGGUGAAAAGCACCCCGACGAGGGGAGUGAAAUAGAACCUGAAACCGGAUGCCUACAAACAGUCGGAGCCCGCAAGGGUGACGACGUACCUUUUGUAUAAUGGGUCUGCGACUUAGUCUGACGAGCAAGCUUAAGGCGAUAGCUGUAGGCGAAGCGAAAGCGAGUCUGAACAGGGCGUUCAGUUCGUCGGAUUAGACCCGAAACCUGUCGAUCUUGCCAUGGUCAGGUUGAAAGCAGGGUAACACCUGCUGGAGGACCGAACCGGUGUCUGUUGAAAAAGCCUCGGAUGAACUGUGGCAAGGGGUGAAAGGCCAAUCAAGGCAGGAAAUAGCUGGUUCUCCGCGAAAUCUAUUUAGGUAGAGCCUCAGAUGAACACUCCAGGGGGUAGAGCACUACAUGGGCUAGGGGCCCCCACAGGGUUACCAAACCUAAGUAAACUCCGAAUACCUGGAAGUGCUAUCUGGGAGACACACGGCGGGUGCUAACGUCCGUCGUGAAAAGGGAAACAACCCUGAUCGUCAACUAAGGUCCCCAAGUCACGGCUAAGUGUGAAAGGAUGUGGGAACCCCAUAACAACCAGGAGGUUGGCUUAGAAGCAGCCAUCCUUUAAAGAAAGCGUAACAGCUCACUGGUCUAAACAAGGGUUUCUGCGCCGAAAAUGUAACGGGGCUUAAGCUAUGCACCGAAGACGCGGGCUCGAGCAAUCGAGCGGUAGCGGAGCGUUCCGUAAGCCUGUGAAGGGAGACCCGUGAGGGCUCCUGGAGGUAUCGGAAGUGCGAAUGCAGACAUGAGUAACGACAGGAGUGUGAGAAACACUCCCGCCGAAAGUCCAAGGGUUCCUGCGUAAAGUUAAUCUGCGCAGGGUUAGCCGGCCCCUAAGGCGAGGGCGAAAGCCGUAGUCGAUGGGAACCACGUUAAUAUUCGUGGGCCAGUGGGUGAGUGACGGAUGCUGUGUGUUGUCGGGGAUUAUCGGAUUUCUCCCGGCAGCGAAGGUGUCCCAGGAAAUAGCCCCCACAUAGACCGUACCCGAAACCGACACAGGUGGACUGGUAGAGAAUACCAAGGCGCUUGAGCGAAGUGUGCUGAAGGAACUCGGCAAAUUACCUGCGUAACUUCGGGAGAAGCAGGCUAUCCGCCUGGGCAACCAGGUGGGUAGGGCACAGACCAGGGGGUGGCGACUGUUUACCUAAAACACAGGGCUAUGCUAAGUCCAACGACGACGUAUAUGGCCUGACGCCUGCCCGGUGCUGGAAGGUUAAGAGGAGAGGUGCAAGCCUUGAAUCGAAGCCCCAGUAAACGGCGGCCGUAACUAUAACGGUCCUAAGGUAGCGAAAUUCCUUGUCGGGUAAGUUC